This 73-nucleotide microRNA precursor is filed under the name Pelobates cultripes (western spadefoot toad). The record is from RNAcentral. Lineage: Eukaryota; Metazoa; Chordata; Amphibia; Anura; Pelobatidae.
UGUUUGUGUGUGUGUGUGUGUGUGUGUGUGUAUAUAUCUCUCUCACACACACACACACACACACACACACAAU